GGGAGCUUCUUUCUGAUCAUGCAAUGAUUGAUUGCAACUGAAACUCUGAUGGAGAAUUAACUGUAAUUCUUUGCAGAGGGGAAGCAAACUACUAUUGAUGGUAUAUGUUGCUAUGGCUAAGGAUCACUCAUCCUGACAGGUCUGAGGAGACAAAAAUAAUUUGAUUCAUCAAUAAAGAAAUCACAAGAGAACACCGUUCAAUUUUGAUCUGUUACUGGUCUCAUGUUGGUACCAUCAGUUAUACCUUGGACAGCUAGACUCUCAGGAAGAAGCCCAAGGAGAGGGAAGCUGGAAACACUUCAGUGGCAAGCUGUGCAGGUCAGACUUGCAAGAAGUGAUACUAGAGGUGGUAAGUUGGAUUAGUUGGCAAAGAUUACAAAAGGGGGUAAAACAUACAUAAGAAUUCAAUGAGCUACAUGGAUAUCGUUUGUGUAUGUUCCUAUCAAGUGUGGAUCAUAACUAUUUGCUGUGGAGCAGGCAAUGAUCAGUCUGCUCCAAUAUAUGUCUUAAGAACAAGCUCUUGCUGAAACUGCGCUGGGAUAUUAGUUAAUUAUUAUAAUAGCCAAAAAUAGUUAUUUGACUUAUCAUUUGUCAGGGGUAUACAACAGGUUAUUAUAUCUACAUUAUUUUCAACUGCUACACUGUCUUUAAGAACACUGGAGAACAGAGUUACUUCUGGUACACUUCCAUUGGACUGGAUCCUAAGUCUGCCAUAAAGGAAUGUCAACAGUGGAGCUUCAGUAGGAAGCUCCUCUUGUUGUACCAGUUUUCUUGGAGUUUCCCUAGUGAAACAAUGAAGUUGGGUUUAAAUAGAGCAUGAACUACAUUAUUAAUAAACAAAUGAUACUUUCAUAAUUAAAA
Molecule: long non-coding RNA, 861 nt
Organism: Oxyura jamaicensis (ruddy duck)
Lineage: Eukaryota; Metazoa; Chordata; Aves; Anseriformes; Anatidae
Exons: 3
Source: RefSeq, a predicted model, not a curated record